This 395-nucleotide unclassified non-coding RNA is filed under the name soil metagenome. Its description in RNAcentral is "partial contains 5.8S ribosomal RNA, internal transcribed spacer 2, and large subunit ribosomal RNA". The stretch from base 1 to 122 matches the Rfam family "5.8S ribosomal RNA", at positions 35 to 154 of the family's 154-position model. The record is from RNAcentral.
GAUGAAGAACGUAGCGAAAUGCGAUACUUGGUGUGAAUUGCAGAAUCCCGUGAACCAUCGAGUCUUUGAACGCAAGUUGCGCCCGAAGCCAUCAGGUUGAGGGCACGUCUGCCUGGGCGUCACAUAUCGUUGCCCAAUGCCUAUUGCAGUGCAAUAGGAAUUUCUAGGGCGAAUGAUGGCUUCCCGUGAGCGUUGUUGCCUCGCGGUUGGUUGAAAAUUGAGUCCUUGGUAGGGUGUGCCAUGGUAGAUGGUGGUCGAGUUAGAACGAUACCGAUCAUGUGCAUGCUCCCCAAAAUAUGGCCUCUAUGACCCACACGCGUCUUUUGACGCUCAUGACGAGACCUCAGGUCAGGCGGGGCUACCCGCUGAAUUUAAGCAUAUCAAUAAGCGGAGGA